AACGACGCCGGCGGCGUGCCUAACACAUGCAAGUCGAGCGAGAAAGUCCCUUCGGGGGCGAGUAAAGCGGCGGACGGGUGAGUAAUACAUGGAUAAUCUUCCCUCGAGCCUGGGAUAACCCUGCGAAAGUGGGGCUAAUACCGGAUAAGACCACAUGACACAUGUCACGGGGUAGAAGGUGGCUUGUAUUUAUAUGAGCUAUCACUUGAGGAUGAGUCCAUGGCCUAUCAGCUAGUUGGUGAGGUAAGAGCUUACCAAGGCUAUGACGGGUAGCUGGUCUGAGAGGACGACUAGCCACACUGGGACUGAGACACGGCCCAGACUCCUACGGGAGGCAGCAGUGGGGAAUAUUGGGCAAUGGGCGAAAGCCUGACCCAGCGACGCCGCGUGGGUGAUGAAGGCCUUCGGGUUGUAAAACCCUUUCGUGCGGAAAGAAUAGUCCUGUAGCGAAUAACUACGGGAUUUGACGGUACCGCAGGAAGAAGCACCGGCUAACUCCGUG
Molecule: ribosomal RNA, 502 nt
Filed under: uncultured bacterium
Lineage: Bacteria
Description: bacterial SSU rRNA
Rfam family: Bacterial small subunit ribosomal RNA
Source: RNAcentral